Molecule: ribosomal RNA, 467 nt
Filed under: uncultured bacterium
Lineage: Bacteria
Description: partial 16S ribosomal RNA
Rfam family: Bacterial small subunit ribosomal RNA
Source: RNAcentral
GACGAACGCUGGCGGCGUGCUUAACACAUGCAAGUCGAACGGAAAGGCCCUGCUUUUGUGGGGUGCUCGAGUGGCGAACGGGUGAGUAACACGUGAGUAACCUGCCCUUGACUUUGGGAUAACUUCAGGAAACUGGGGCUAAUACCGGAUAGGAGCUCCUGCUGCAUGGUGGGGGUUGGAAAGUUUCGGCGGUUGGGGAUGGACUCGCGGCUUAUCAGCUUGUUGGUGGGGUAGUGGCUUACCAAGGCUUUGACGGGUAGCCGGCCUGAGAGGGUGACCGGCCACAUUGGGACUGAGAUACGGCCCAGACGCCUACGGGAGGCAGCAGUGGGGAAUAUUGCACAAUGGGCGGAAGCCUGAUGCAGCAACGCCGCGUGCGGGAUGACGGCCUUCGGGUGGUAAACCGCUUUCGCCUGUGACGAAGCGUGAGUGACGGUAAUGGGGAAAGAAGCACCGGCUAACUACGG